Molecule: non-coding RNA, 28 nt
Filed under: Rattus norvegicus (Norway rat)
Lineage: Eukaryota; Metazoa; Chordata; Mammalia; Rodentia; Muridae
Source: RNAcentral
UACCUGAAUCCUGACUCUUUUCAGCAAU